This 86-nucleotide transfer RNA is filed under the name uncultured Akkermansia sp. It matches the Rfam family "tRNA". Rfam says of the family: Transfer RNA (tRNA) molecules are approximately 80 nucleotides in length. Their secondary structure includes four short double-helical elements and three loops (D, anti-codon, and T loops). Lineage: Bacteria; Pseudomonadati; Verrucomicrobiota; Verrucomicrobiia; Verrucomicrobiales; Akkermansiaceae. The record is from RNAcentral.
GAGAGAUGGCUGAGUUGGUUUAAGGCACUCGACUCGAAAUCGAACGUGCGGGAGACCGUACCGAGGGUUCGAAUCCCUCUCUCUCC